UUGAACGUGUUCUGGUAAGACAAUUGUUAUUUCAUUUUGAGGGUAAGGAAGUGGGUGUAGAAUAAUCGCUGAUGUUAACGUGAUGUUCAUUCCUGUAGGGUGACUUUGUGGUGGAUUGGGAUUUGGCAAAUCAUAGAUUGACAGUCUUAAAGCAGCCGCGUAAGCGGUUCAAUGCAUUCCAUCACGAAUUACACAAAAAACAUUUAUCAUACGAAAGUCACGCAGAAGCAGUAGGUUCUGGGGGUAGCAUGGUUGACCCCAUCAUCUGGGAUAAGCUGUGUGCGAGGUGGGGAAGUGAAGACUUCAAGAAAAUCUCAAGACAAAAUAAGGAGAAUAGAAAGAAGCUAACCAAUACCCACAUUGUAGGCCGCAAAUCCUUUGUUAGGAUAUUGGAGGAGAAGGUAUAAUCUUUCAACUGAUUUAUGUCGUAACUUGUAUGGUCACAACCCAUUUUCCAUAGACUCAUGUUUUUGAUUGAUCAUAGCUAACUAUACAAAUUCCAAACACUUGUAGCGGGUGAUGAAUGCAACUUUGGUGCAGUUUUAUAAGGAGACUCAUUGGUCGAAGAAGAACGGUAAAUUUGUCACCUCAACUACUGAAGACACCUAU
Molecule: long non-coding RNA, 609 nt
Organism: Juglans microcarpa x Juglans regia
Lineage: Eukaryota; Viridiplantae; Streptophyta; Magnoliopsida; Fagales; Juglandaceae
Exons: 2
Source: RefSeq, a predicted model, not a curated record